UGGGGAAUAUUGCACAAUGGGCGCAAGCCUGAUGCAGCCAUGCCGCGUGUAUGAAGAAGGCCUUCGGGUUGUAAAGUACUUUCAGUCGGGAGGAAGGUGGUAAGGUUAAUAACCUUAUCAAUUGACGUUACCGACAGAAGAAGCAACGGCUAACUCCGUGCCAGCAGCCGCGGUAAUACGGAGGGUGCAAGCGUUAAUCGGAAUUACUGGGCGUAAAGCGCACGCAGGCGGUUGAUUGAGUCAGAUGUGAAAUCCCCGGGCUUAACCCGGGAAUUGCAUCUGAUACUGGUCAGCUAGAGUCUUGUAGAGGGGGGUAGAAUUCCAUGUGUAGCGGUGAAAUGCGUAGAGAUGUGGAGGAAUACCGGUGGCGAAGGCGGCCCCCUGGACAAAGACUGACGCUCAGGUGCGAAAGCGUGGGGAGCAAACAGG
RNAcentral lists this ribosomal RNA (429 nucleotides) under Chloroflexota bacterium. RNAcentral's name for it is "Chloroflexi bacterium partial 16S ribosomal RNA". It matches the Rfam family "Bacterial small subunit ribosomal RNA", at positions 355 to 776 of the family's 1533-position model. Lineage: Bacteria; Bacillati; Chloroflexota. The record is from RNAcentral.